Molecule: non-coding RNA, 844 nt
Organism: Physcomitrium patens
Lineage: Eukaryota; Viridiplantae; Streptophyta; Bryopsida; Funariales; Funariaceae
Source: RefSeq, a predicted model, not a curated record
AGCGCGGUCUCGUGGCAUCGGGGCUCGAACAUGGAGGAGCAUCGACUGCGACGCUGCUGUUGCUAUUGCUGCCGGUGCUGUCAAACGUGGCAGAGGUGGUGACGCAUGCACGAGAGAUCACUUGAUACAUACUAUGUCAGACUCCAGUGGUAGCAGGACUUGCUUUUGUCCUUUUUUGCUUUUCUUUUCUUUUCUGAUUCGAUUUGCAGCGUCCACAUUGAUUCCUGUGCAGCCGGCCUGCAAAUUCCUGUCCUUUCGAAGUUCCAGCUAGUAGCACCUCGGUGAUGCCUUCUCAUGCAGAGAGUGCAGUAAGUUUGAAGUGCAUGGUCCCUUCCUACACUUCUUCACAAACCAUUUAGAAUAUGCUUCGUGUGUAAAUUCUACACACUGUGUUGUAGCUGGUGAAGUGAAAUUAUAUAGUGUGCCGAGCAGAGUCGAGAUUUUGUGGAGUUGGGGAGAUCGUAGUUUGGCGUCUUGGUGGAAGCUUUGAUGUUAAGCAACACGAUAUCCCUCAAUUCGCUGGAUCUUGUCCCCAUGGUGCAUAUUGGUUGUACCAGUUUCUUGUCAAGUUUGGUGCCUUCAGUGAAUGGUUUGGUGAUUAUGAAAGUGAACCCUUGUUCAUUCUUUUCAGCUCUAGCUUCUGAACUGAAAAAUUGUGUAGGGCUUUCCUUAUGAAGCGUUCAAGGCGGAUCCCAACUUGUUGGUUAAGCAGAUGUGAUAUAUAGUUGUUUGCUUCAAUGUGUGUAUGCUGAUGGUCGAUUUAGAGGUGUGAGCAAAAAUAUGCAACGUACUCAUAAAUAAUGAUAUAAAGAAAAAAAAACGUUCCGAAAUACUUUUAAAAAUA